UGGGUGACCUGCCCUGCACUUCGGGAUAAGCCUGGGAAACUGGGUCUAAUACCGGAUAGGACCGCACCGUGAGGGUGUGGUGGAAAGUUUUUUCGGUGUGGGAUGGGCCCGCGGCCUAUCAGCUUGUUGGUGGGGUAAUGGCCUACCAAGGCGGCGACGGGUAGCCGGCCUGAGAGGGUGGACGGCCACAUUGGGACUGAGACACGGCCAGACUCCUACGGGAGGCAGCAGUGGGGAAUAUUGCACAAUGGGCGGAAGCCUGAUGCAGCGACGCCGCGUGGGGGAUGACGGCCUUCGGGUUGUAAACUCCUUUCACCAUCGACGAAGGGUUUCUGACGGUAGAUGGAGAAGAAGCACCGGCUAACUACGUGCCAGCAGCCGCGGUAAUACGUAGGGUGCGAGCGUUGUCCGGAAUUACUGGGCGUAAAGAGCUCGUAGGUGGUUUGUCGCGUCGUCUGUGAAAUUCCGGGGCUUAACUCCGGGCGUGCAGGCGAUACGGGCAUAACUUGAGUACUGUAGGGGAGACUGGAAUUCCUGGUGUAGCGGUGAAAUGCGCAGAUAUCAGGAGGAACACCGGUGGCGAAGGCGGGUCUCUGGGCAGUAACUGACGCUGAGGAGCGAAAGCAUGGGGAGCGAACAGGAUUAGAUACCCUGGUAGUCCAUGCCGUAAACGGUGGGCGCUAGGUGUGGGUUUCCUUCCACGGGAUCCGUGCCGUAGCUAACGCAUUAAGCGCCCCGCCUGGGGAGUACGCCGCAAGGC
Molecule: ribosomal RNA, 760 nt
Filed under: uncultured Actinomycetes bacterium
Lineage: Bacteria; Bacillati; Actinomycetota; Actinomycetes
Description: bacterial SSU rRNA
Rfam family: Bacterial small subunit ribosomal RNA
Source: RNAcentral